CCGGUGUCCCUGGCGCAGCCCUGGGCCCCGCGGGAUGCAGCUGGCUGCCCUCCGUAGUCUUUCCCUUGUCAUCGCUCUCUCCCUGCGCGGCUCGACCUGAAGCAACCAGCGAGUGCAGUACCUGUGUAUAGUGCCUUCAUAGCAGAUUGCUUCCUACAGCUCUUUUCACUUAUUCUGUCUCUUCAAAUCUAAGUGGUGUGGUUUUGAACCGACAUCUUCCAGUAAUUUGCCAAAAUGACUAACGGGAAGAGAAAGAGAAAGGGAACCCGGUAUAUGUUCUCUAGGCGUUUUAGAAAACAUGGGGUUGCUCCUUCAGCCACAUACAUGGAAAUUUGCAAAAAGCGUCAUAAUGUAGACAUCAAGGGAACGGAUACUGUUCAAAAAGGAGUGCCACGCAAAUGUUACUAUGGUGAAACUGGAAGCGUCUCGUUGUAAACAAGCAAGUUAAGGGCAAAAUACUUGCCAAGAUGAUUAAUGUGCAUAUCGAGCAUAUUAAACGCUCGAAGAGUUGAAAUGGCUUUCUGAAACCUGUCAAGGAAAGUGAUCAGAAAAAGAAGGAAGCCAAAGAAAAAGGUACCCAGGUUCAACCGAAGCACCAGCCUGCCUUGCUCAGAGAAGCACACUUUUGUGAGACCUAAUGUGAAGACGCUUGAGUUGCUGGAAUUAAUUUCCUAUGAAUUCAUGACAUAAAAUGGAGAUGUAGCUCUGCCAUUCAGCACCUAAAUAGCGGCUAAGUGUUCUAGGUCCUCCUUAAAAAUAAAAAACCAUCCUGUGUUGUAAGGAUGGUUUUCUUAAUGGAA
Molecule: long non-coding RNA, 800 nt
Organism: Chinchilla lanigera (long-tailed chinchilla)
Lineage: Eukaryota; Metazoa; Chordata; Mammalia; Rodentia; Chinchillidae
Exons: 2
Source: RefSeq, a predicted model, not a curated record